GUGGGGAAUAUUGGACAAUGGGCGCAAGCCUGAUCCAGCCAUGCCGCGUGGGUGAAGAAGGCCUUCGGGUUGUAAAGCCCUUUUGUCCGGAAAGAAAAGCACUGGAUUAAUACUUCGGUGUUCUGACGGUACCGGAAGAAUAAGCACCGGCUAACUUCGUGCCAGCAGCCGCGGUAAUACGAAGGGUGCAAGCGUUACUCGGAAUUACUGGGCGUAAAGCGUGCGUAGGUGGUUCGUUAAGUCUGAUGUGAAAGCCCUGGGCUCAACCUGGGAAUUGCAUUGGAUACUGGCGGGCUAGAGUGCGGUAGAGGAUGGCGGAAUUCCCGGUGUAGCAGUGAAAUGCGUAGAGAUCGGGAGGAACAUCUGUGGCGAAGGCGGCCAUCUGGACCAGCACUGACACUGAGGCACGAAAGCGUGGGGAGCAAACAGGAUUAGAAACCCCGGUAGUCC
Molecule: ribosomal RNA, 450 nt
Filed under: uncultured bacterium
Lineage: Bacteria
Description: bacterial SSU rRNA
Rfam family: Bacterial small subunit ribosomal RNA
Source: RNAcentral